CAAAGGUGAGCCAGUACAGGAUGGACCCGCGUCUGAUUAGCUAGUUGGUAAGGUAACGGCUUACCAAGGCGACGAUCAGUAGCCGACCUGAGAGGGUGAUCGGCCACAUUGGAACUGAGACACGGUCCAAACUCCUACGGGAGGCAGCAGUGGGGAAUAUUGCACAAUGGGCGAAAGCCUGAUGCAGCAACGCCGCGUGAGUGAUGAAGGCCUUCGGGUCGUAAAACUCUGUCCUCAAGGAAGAUAAUGACGGUACUUGAGGAGGAAGCCCCGGCUAACUACGUGCCAGCAGCCGCGGUAAUACGUAGGGGGCUAGCGUUAUCCGGAUUUACUGGGCGUAAAGGGUGCGUAGGCGGUCUUUCAAGUCAGGAGUGAAAGGCUACGGCUCAACCGUAGUAAGCUCUUGAAACUGGGAGACUUGAGUGCAGGAGAGGAGAGUGGAAUUCCUAGUGUAGCGGUGAAAUGCGUAGAUAUUAGGAGGAACACCAGUUGCGAAGGCGGCUCUCUGGACUGUAACUGACGCUGAGGCACGAAAGCGUGGGGAGCAAACAGGAUUAGAUACCCUGGUGGUCCACGCUGUAAACGAUGAGUACUAGGUGUCGGGGGUUACCCCCUUCG
This 618-nucleotide ribosomal RNA is filed under the name uncultured bacterium. Its description in RNAcentral is "bacterial SSU rRNA". It matches the Rfam family "Bacterial small subunit ribosomal RNA", at positions 202 to 842 of the family's 1533-position model. The record is from RNAcentral.